UGGGCGGGCGGGAGAAGAAAGGGCUCUGGGAGGGGAGAGGAGAUGGGGACAAUGUAAACUUAGCAAGCACCUGCGAGAGGAGCGAUGGCGGGGGUGCGGGGGAGGGGGUCCGGGAGACCUGGAAGUGAAGGCAGGGGAACGGGAGGAGGAGAGGAAGGCGCCCCUCUGGUAAGGGGAGGGAAGCCUCAGCUUCAGGUCCGAGUGGAGCACAGGUUUCCUAGGCCCCGGGGGGAAGACAGAGAUGAGGGUCUUGCCCUCUAAGAAUGUGGCCAACUAAGAAAAAUUUUCUCACCACAUGGGAACAUUUCAUUUUGUUAAGAAACCUUUUCAAAUCUAUAGCUUUUAAAAUUGCAACAACCUAUUUGUUCUAGGACUAAACACUACUGUCAACUGUGGUUAAAUAACAAACUCUUUUUGCCGUUUCUUUAAUAUAUAUAUAAACAUCCGCCUUUUUGCUAUGUACAGUUUGUUGAGAAAGUACCAAGAGCAAACCCCAGGGGGAAAGGUCUCAUAUUACAGGUUCUCCUAAUUGUUUAAGCGCCCCUGACAACAGAACUAUUUGGUUUUCCCAUCCGUGUUUACACUGUCAUCUUGGUCUCUGUGAGUGGAUUUUUUAUCUGGCUUCUUGGACACCACUUACUAGUAAACCACAGCUAAGAAAUAUUUUUAAAGCAUGGCUGGGACGCCGAGGCCCCUGGUUGAGUAUAAACGCACACACACACCGCUUCUAUUUCCCCCUUCCCUGGUGGAGAAAAAAUCUCUUAAAUGAUACGGCAUGAAAACAAAUUUUUAAAAUUAUUCAUGAUUUCCCCCAGCUCUGCAGACAGGUUAGUGAGCAAACUUCAGCCAGCUUGGAAGCUGGGCAACUUUCCAUGCCCAGUUACACAAUAUCACCUCCCCGUUUGCCUGGGUCCCAGUGCCCUCCAAAGAGGCACAAGAACCUGUCUUUAUUUUUCUUUUUCUGUUGUCUCAACGGCUGGUUUUCUGCAUUUCUGUCCUCUUGCAUCGAAGAGCUUGGUCUGCCUGUUCGCAGCUCUUGCAACACUGCAUUUAAAGUGAUUUAUGUUGCCCAAUUGACAAUCUCCUUUAAAAUCGGCUUUCACCCAGCAAUAAUAGCUGGUUAUAGUUCAUGUUUUUGCAGAGAGGUUGAUUCUGACUCAUCGUGUCCAACGCUGUCCCAUACACAGCUGAAUAAAGUUCUGGUGCUAGGAGAGAAAAAUGAGGAAAACACCUCUCCAGCGCUCUCAUGA
Molecule: long non-coding RNA, 1250 nt
Filed under: Ursus maritimus (polar bear)
Lineage: Eukaryota; Metazoa; Chordata; Mammalia; Carnivora; Ursidae
Description: lncRNA (ENSUMAG00000017883.1)
Source: RNAcentral